RNAcentral lists this ribosomal RNA (492 nucleotides) under uncultured bacterium. RNAcentral describes it as "partial 16S ribosomal RNA". It matches the Rfam family "Bacterial small subunit ribosomal RNA", at positions 29 to 507 of the family's 1533-position model. The record is from RNAcentral.
AGUGAACGCUGGCGGUAGGCCUAACACAUGCAAGUCGAACGGCAGCACAGUAAGAGCUUGCUCUUACGGGUGGCGAGUGGCGGACGGGUGAGGAAUACAUCGGAAUCUACUUUUUCGUGGGGGAUAACGUAGGGAAACUUACGCUAAUACCGCAUACGACCUACGGGUGAAAGCAGGGGAUCUUCGGACCUUGCGCGAUUGAAUGAGCCGAUGUCGGAUUAGCUAGUUGGCGGGGUAAGGGCCCACCAAGGCGACGAUCCGUAGCUGGUCUGAGAGGAUGAUCAGCCACACUGGAACUGAGACACGGUCCAGACUCCUACGGGAGGCAGCAGUGGGGAAUAUUGGACAAUGGGCGCAAGCCUGAUCCAGCCAUACCGCGUGGAUGAAGAAGGCCUUCGGGUUGUAAAGCCCUUUUGUUGGGAAAGAAAAGCAGCAGGUUAAUACCCCGCUGUUCUGACGGUACCCAAAGAAUAAGCACCGGCUAACUUCGUG